GACGAACGCUGGCGGCGUGCCUAAUACAUGCAAGUCGAGCGAAGUUUUUCUGGUGCUUGCACCGGAAAAACUUAGCGGCGAACGGGUGAGUAACACGUAAAGAACCUGCCUCAUAGACUGGGACAACUAUUGGAAACGAUAGCUAAUACCGGAUAAUAGCAUUAACUGCAUGGUUGAUGUUUGAAAGUUGGUUUUGCUAACACUAUGAGAUGGCUUUGCGGUGCAUUAGCUAGUUGGUGGGGUAAAGGCCUACCAAGGCGACGAUGCAUAGCCGACCUGAGAGGGUGAUCGGCCACACUGGGACUGAGACACGGCCCAGACUCCUACGGGAGGCAGCAGUAGGGAAUCUUCCGCAAUGGGCGAAAGCCUGACGGAGCAACGCCGCGUGAGUGAAGAAGGAUUUCGGUUCGUAAAGCUCUGUUGUUAGGGAAGAAUGAUUGUGUAGUAACUAUACACAGUAGAGACGGUACCUAACCAGAAAGCCACGGCUAACUACGUGCCAGCAGCCGCGGUAAUACGUAGGUGGCAAGCGUUGUCCGGAAUUAUUGGGCGUAAAGCGCGCGCAGGUGGUUUAAUAAGUCUGAUGUGAAAGCCCACGGCUCAACCGUGGAGGGUCAUUGGAAACUGUUAAACUUGAGUGCAGGAGAGAAAAGUGGAAUUCCUGGUGUAGCGGUGAAAUGCGUAGAGAUUAGGAGGAACACCAGUGGCGAAGGCGGCUUUUUGGCCUGUAACUGACACUGAGGCGCGAAAGCGUGGGGAGCAAACAGG
RNAcentral lists this ribosomal RNA (768 nucleotides) under uncultured bacterium. Its description in RNAcentral is "bacterial SSU rRNA". It matches the Rfam family "Bacterial small subunit ribosomal RNA", at positions 28 to 776 of the family's 1533-position model. The record is from RNAcentral.